This 253-nucleotide ribosomal RNA is filed under the name uncultured bacterium. RNAcentral describes it as "partial 16S ribosomal RNA". It matches the Rfam family "Bacterial small subunit ribosomal RNA", at positions 524 to 776 of the family's 1533-position model. The record is from RNAcentral.
UACGUAGGGAGCAAGCGUUGUCCGGAAUCAUUGGGCGUAAAGCGCGCGUAGGCGGCCCUGUAAGUCCGUUGUGAAAGUCAAAGGCUCAACCUUUGAAAGCCGAUGGAUACUGCAGGGCUAGAGUCCGGAAGAGGCGAGUGGAAUUCCCAGUGUAGAGGUGAAAUUCGUAGAUAUUGGGAAGAACACCGGUGGCGAAGGCGGCGAGCUGGUCCAUUACUGACGCUGAGGCGCGACAGCGUGGGGAGCAAACAGG